AGGGCACCACCAGGAGUGGAGCCUGCGGCUUAAUUUGACUCAACACGGGAAAUCUCACCAGGCCCGGACACUGGAAGGAUUGACAGAUUGAGAGCUCUUUCUCGAUUCGGUGGGUGGUGGUGCAUGGCCGUUCUUAGUUGGUGGAGUGAUUUGUCUGGUUAAUUCCGAUAACGAACGAGACUCUGUCCUGCUAAAUAGGCAGUGGAUUAUUCGUCCACUGUACUUCUUAGAGGGACAAGCAGCGUCUAGCUGCACGAGAUUGAGCAAUAACAGGUCUGUGAUGCCCUUAGAUGUUCGGGGCUGCACGCGCGCUACACUGAAGGAAUCAACAUGCUUCUCAACCUUGGCCGGAAGGUCUAGGUAACCCGUUGAAACUCCUUCGUGAUUGGGAUAGGGAAUUGCAAUUAUUUCCCUUGAACGAGGAAUUCCCAGUAAGUGCGGGUCAUCAGCUCGCGCUGAUUACGUCCCUGCCCUUUGUACACACCGCCCGUCGCUACUACCGAUUGGAGGUAGAGCAGA
RNAcentral lists this ribosomal RNA (519 nucleotides) under uncultured eukaryote. RNAcentral's name for it is "SSU rRNA". It matches the Rfam family "Eukaryotic small subunit ribosomal RNA", at positions 1161 to 1704 of the family's 1831-position model. The record is from RNAcentral.